CAUUGCCUUCUGUGUAGUACAACAGCAUUAAGAAGAAAAAAAAAUGACAACCCUGAUUUGGUUAUUAGGGAAAGAAGAGUGAAGCUUGGGACUCCACAUGAUGCCCGUGUUUGUGAAUGUUUAUUGAGUGUCAGAAGGAAGAGCCACAUAUUAGGUGCUUGGAAACACCACUAUCGUCAUUAUCAUCACCACCACUGUCACCGUCUCCGACACCAUCAUCACCAUCAUCGUAGUUACCACCACAACCACCGCCACUGUCAUCAUCGUCAUCAUCAUUAUCAUCAUCAUCAUCGUUUGGUGGCACUCAGGGCUGCAUUCGUGUGAGGCAGAUGCUCUGCCACUAAGCUACAUCCCUAGUCCAGGAAUACAAUGUUAAAAAGUUUAUCACAGCUUUUGACUGAAUUACCACAAGUAGGUGCGGCUUAAGGUGUGUACAAGGAGUGACAGAUACUCAUUGGGGCUUUCUUUAUACCCAAGCCAGAUUGCAAUGCUCUGUCUUUCCAAACUUCAAGUCAAAUGGUGGUUCAGGGAUCUGGGAUUAAAAGCAAGAAGUCAAGCAGGUGACACAGUUUGACACAGGCUAUGGGCUGGAGCAGAUGUCCUCACCAGGAACCACAGAGGGACACUUUGAAGGAAUAAAGACUCCUUGUUUCUCUGUGGUGUGGCCUGCAUUCGUCAGACACUUGCAACUUACUGGUGACUGCAUACACCACUGUGUUAAGUCUCAAAGAAAAGAAGAUUUUACUUUUAUUUCUAUUUUAUGACCAGAAACAAACAUCAAGGCAAAGAGAUGACGUGAUGAUUAAAAUGGCUAAGGGUACACAGCUGUCAUGCCCAUGAGCUGCAGGUUUGAAUCUUGUUUCGAAGACUCUAAUCCCUAACUCUGUGGAAACUCUCAUGUCUCCGUCCCAGAUACCUACUGUAUAAAUUGGAGAGAUGAAGGAGGUUAUUGUAGUUGCCUCAAUUUACUGGAGGUCAGUCCUCAAGCUCAGGCCAAGUUUGCCCUCAAACUUCUAAUGAGAAACUUGUUCCAUGAGACCACAAGCUUGUAUGUUAAUAAAGAUCUGCA
Molecule: long non-coding RNA, 1069 nt
Filed under: Mus spicilegus (steppe mouse)
Lineage: Eukaryota; Metazoa; Chordata; Mammalia; Rodentia; Muridae
Description: lncRNA (ENSMSIG00000030572.1)
Source: RNAcentral